UCCCCGUUACCGGGGCAGUCUGAUUAGAAAAAUACAACUAAUCAUAGGGGUUGCGCUCGUUAAAGGACUUAACCUAACAUCUCACGACACGAGCUGACGACGGCCAUGCAGCACCUGUCACUAGGCUCCCGAAGGCACUCUCGGCUUUCACCAAAAUUCCUAGGAUGUCAAACCUGGGUAAGGUUCUUCGCUUACCAUCGAAUUAAACAACACGCUCCACCGCUUGUGCGGGCCCCCGUCAAUUCCUUUGAGUUUCAGCCUUGCGGCCGUACUCCCCAGGCGGGGCACUUACUGCGUUAGCGACGGCACCGGGAGGGUCGCUCCCCCCGACGCCUAGUGCCCAUCGUUUACGGCGUGGACUAC
This 363-nucleotide unclassified non-coding RNA is filed under the name uncultured bacterium. RNAcentral's name for it is "contains 16S-23S intergenic spacer region". The record is from RNAcentral.